UGGAUAGUAGCCAAGCGGUAAGGCACCAGAUUUUGAUUCUGGUAUGCGAUGGUUCGAAUCCACCCUAUCCAGCCA
RNAcentral lists this transfer RNA (75 nucleotides) under Mycoplasmataceae bacterium. RNAcentral's name for it is "tRNA-Gln". It matches the Rfam family "tRNA". Rfam says of the family: Transfer RNA (tRNA) molecules are approximately 80 nucleotides in length. Their secondary structure includes four short double-helical elements and three loops (D, anti-codon, and T loops). Further hydrogen bonds mediate the characteristic L-shaped molecular structure. tRNAs have two regions of fundamental functional importance: the anti-codon, which is responsible for specific mRNA codon recognition, and the 3' end, to which the tRNAs corresponding amino acid is attached (by aminoacyl-tRNA synthetases). tRNAs cope with the degeneracy of the genetic code in two manners: having more than one tRNA (with a specific anti-codon) for a particular amino acid; and 'wobble' base-pairing, i.e. permitting non-standard base-pairing at the 3rd anti-codon position. Lineage: Bacteria; Bacillati; Mycoplasmatota; Mollicutes; Mycoplasmatales; Mycoplasmataceae. The record is from RNAcentral.